This 406-nucleotide long non-coding RNA is filed under the name Aplysia californica (California sea hare). Its description in RNAcentral is "uncharacterized LOC101860164, transcript variant X1". Lineage: Eukaryota; Metazoa; Mollusca; Gastropoda; Aplysiida; Aplysiidae. The record is from RNAcentral.
CUCACCUUCGGCUGGGGGUGUGUAGUCCCCCCCAAGAUGUAUGUAGCAAAUCACUGUGGGAGAGAGAACAUCGUCCCUUGUUUCGUUGUGUGACUGACUGGACAGAACUAAGUGAGGACUUGGCUGACCUCGCUGUGGAUGAGUCGGGAGUGUGAGCAGACCAGAGGCCGAUGCGGCAGCGAACAGAAGCAAGGCCUGAUGCCAGGUCAGCGUGAAUGAGGCAAGACCUUCACUGACCCCUGCUCGGUGUGGAUAAAGAGAACCACCCACAAUGUACGGUCGUCGAUCCUCUCGGGAUUUCACCAGCUACAAAUCGCCGUCCUCUUACGACCGCUAUGGCAGUAGCCUGGGAUCGGGACGACAUUACGGACAGGUGAGUACAAAGAAAGGAGAACGAUUUAGUGGA